AUUGAACGCUGGCGGCAGGCCUAACACAUGCAAGUCGAACGAGUGGCGGACGGGUGAGUAAUGUCUGGGAAACUGCCCGAUGGAGGGGGAUAACUACUGGAAACGGUAGCUAAUACCGCAUACUAUCGGAUGAACCCAUAUGGGCUUAGCUAGUAGGUGGGGUAACGGCUCACCUAGGCGACGAUCUCUAGCUGGUCUGAGAGGAUGAUCAGCCACACUGGAACUGAGAAACGGUCCAGACUCCUACGGGAGGCAGCAGUGGGGAAUAUUGCACAAUGGGCGCAAGCCUGAUACAGCCAUGCCGCGUGUAUGAAGAAGGCCUUAGGGUUGUAAAGUACUUUCAGCCAGGAGGCGUUACGCGCAGAAGAAGCACCGGCUAACUCCGUGCCAGCAGCCGCGGUAAUUC
RNAcentral lists this ribosomal RNA (406 nucleotides) under uncultured bacterium. RNAcentral describes it as "partial 16S ribosomal RNA". It matches the Rfam family "Bacterial small subunit ribosomal RNA", at positions 30 to 526 of the family's 1533-position model. The record is from RNAcentral.